UGUCUGCCGACUGCAGCGCAGGAAGUGACAUCACCAUGUCUCCGGAGGAGCGGAUACCCAUGCGGCUCUCCAGCGCUCGAGAACAGGACCGUCACACCGAAGGAACCUGCUUCCUGCUGGCCGCCAGCGACUACACCUGCACAGCAGACGCAGCUAUCCGCAAAACAGAGGCAAACGUUCUGUCUUAAAGGGAGACGAGACUCGCGAGACUCACAGCUACUGUAUCACCUCUGGCUGACGUACAGUUUAUAUCGGCCAGAGACGGGGAAGGCGGGGCCAGCAGAGACUCAGAUGGAUUUGAUGAAUUGGAUUGGACAGUCUGGAAUAGAAUAAGCCUGUGAUUGGACGGUUCUGAAAGCGGACGCUCUGUGAACAGAAACCUCACUUACGGAUCGAUCGGACUGCUCAAGACCUGUGGAUUUUCUCGUUUUUUUCUGUGUGGAUACAGACUAAAGCCAGUUGGCGCAACAGGAAAAAAAAAUCACGAUAUGGAUAGUUAAACGUUUCCUGCUUAAAACGAGUCGGCUCUCCGUUUAAUGUCGCAUCUGUAUAAAGGACACACAUCCACCUGUGGCUUCCCCUCUGUGUCAGGUAGCAAAUCAAACACCCCUCGAACCCCCUUCCAAGGCCUCUGUCGUUGCAAUAAGUGUAUUAAGAUGUGUAGAGGCACAAGUGUUUAAAAAUGAAGUAUUAGUGUAUUGACUAUACUAAACUACAGAGUAGAGAGAGAGUAAACAUGAUAAGUUUAAUAAAUGUGACCUUCAGUCAUUUAUGCUUUUUAUUUGCUCUAGUAUCUCUGGUGGAUUCAUUGUUGUCUCUGUGUGUGUGUGUGUGUGUGUGUGUGUGUGUUUGUAUGUGGGAUGUUGAUCUCAAAUGGCACACUUAAAGGAAUAGUUCAGCCAAAAAUGAACAUUUACU
Molecule: RNA transcript, 918 nt
Organism: Sinocyclocheilus rhinocerous
Lineage: Eukaryota; Metazoa; Chordata; Actinopteri; Cypriniformes; Cyprinidae
Gene name: potassium voltage-gated channel subfamily C member 4-like
Exons: 3
Source: RefSeq, a predicted model, not a curated record